UGAGUUGACCAGACAAUCGCUGCUUUAUCGUUGUGCCCAAUGUUUCGACAAAGGGUAGACAGAUAGAGGGGAGGAAAGUCCGGGCUCCAAUGAGCAGGGUGCCAGGUAACACCUGGGCGGCGCAAGCCGACGACAAGUGCAGCAGAGAGAAGACCGCCGAUGACCGCGCUUAUUUAUAAGUGAUGGAACAGGUAAGGCUGAAAGGGUGCGGUAAGAGCGCACCGGGCGACUGGUAACAGUUCGCAGCAGGGUAAACUCCACCCGGAGCAAGACCAAAUAGGGUUUCAUUACUUUAAAUAGUAUACGCGUGGCUCGCGCGGAAACCGGGUAGGUUGCUUGAGCCUUAAAGCGAUUUAAGGCCUAGACGAAUGAUUGUCCACGACAAAACCCGGCUUAUGUGUCAGCUCAUAUC
Molecule: RNase P RNA, 412 nt
Filed under: Litorilituus sediminis
Lineage: Bacteria; Pseudomonadati; Pseudomonadota; Gammaproteobacteria; Alteromonadales; Colwelliaceae
Description: RNase P RNA component class A
Rfam family: Bacterial RNase P class A
About the family: Ribonuclease P (RNase P) is a ubiquitous endoribonuclease, found in archaea, bacteria and eukarya as well as chloroplasts and mitochondria.
Source: RNAcentral